UACGGAGGGUGCAAGCGUUAAUCGGAAUUACUGGGCGUAAAGCGUGCGCAGGCGGUUUGUUAAGUCCGUUGUGAAAGCCCCGAGCUCAACUUGGGAAUUGCAGUGGAUACUGGCAGGCUGGAGUACGGUAGAGGAAGGUGGAAUUCCCGGUGUAGCAGUGAAAUGCGUAGAUAUCGGGAGGAACACCAGUGGCGAAGGCGGCCUUUUGGACCAGUACUGACGCUCAUGCACGAAAGCGUGGGGAGCAAACAGG
RNAcentral lists this ribosomal RNA (253 nucleotides) under uncultured bacterium. Its description in RNAcentral is "partial 16S ribosomal RNA". It matches the Rfam family "Bacterial small subunit ribosomal RNA", at positions 524 to 776 of the family's 1533-position model. The record is from RNAcentral.